GCUAAUACCGCAUAGGACCACGUUGUCGCAUGGCACUGAGGUGAAAGGAGCAAUCCGCUUUCAGGUGAGUUCGCGUCCCAUUAGAUGGUUGGUGGGGUAAUGGCCUACCAAGUCAACGAUGGGUAGCCGAUCUGAGAGGAUGACCGGCCACACUGGAACUGAGAAACGGUCCAGACUCCUACGGGAGGCAGCAGUGGGGAAUAUUGGGCAAUGGGCGAAAGCCUGACCCAGCAACGCCGCGUGAGGGAAGAAGGCUUUCGGGUCGUAAACCUCUGUCGCAGGGGACGAGAAGAAGACGGUACCCUGCAAGGAAGCCCCGGCUAACUACGUGCCAGCAGCCGCGGUAAUACGUAGGGGGCAAGCGUUGUCCGGAAUGACUGGGCGUAAAGGGCGCGUAGGCGGCCUGGUAAGUUUGGAGUGAAAGUCCCGGUUUCAAGCUGGGAAUUGCUUUGAAAAACUGCUUGGCUAGAGUAUGGGAGAGGAUAGCGGAAUUCCCGGUGUAGCGGUGAAAUGCGUAGAGAU
This 522-nucleotide ribosomal RNA is filed under the name uncultured bacterium. RNAcentral describes it as "bacterial SSU rRNA". It matches the Rfam family "Bacterial small subunit ribosomal RNA", at positions 162 to 697 of the family's 1533-position model. The record is from RNAcentral.